RNAcentral lists this unclassified non-coding RNA (263 nucleotides) under plant metagenome. Its description in RNAcentral is "partial contains small subunit ribosomal RNA, internal transcribed spacer 1, and 5.8S ribosomal RNA". The record is from RNAcentral.
UUUCCGUAGGUGAACCUGCGGAAGGAUCAUUAUUGUAUAACCAGGGAGAGAGGCCCGUCGCUGAGCCGGAAGGUCAUGCACGCCCGAGUUCGCUCACACACAUCCAUCUCACACCUAUGUGCACCACCGCGUGGGUCACCCUAUAGCUUUUUCGGUGGGGCGCUUACCUUUUCACUCAACCAUUGUAUGUAGUGUAGGUUGUAUUUUUUGUUUUUGCGAUAACGCAAUCUAUACAACUUUUAACAACGGAUCUCUUGGCUCUC